UGGGGAAUUUUGGACAAUGGGCGAAAGCCUGAUCCAGCAAUGCCGCGUGUGUGAAGAAGGCCUUCGGGUUGUAAAGCACUUUUUGUCCGGAAAGAAACCCUUGGCUCUAAUACAGUCGGGGGAUGACGGUACCGGAAGAAUAAGCACCGGCUAACUACGUGCCAGCAGCCGCGGUAAUACGUAGGGUGCAAGCGUUAAUCGGAAUUACUGGGCGUAAAGCGUGCGCAGGCGGUUUGCUAAGACCGAUGUGAAAAUCCCCGGGCGUCAACCUGGGCAACUGCAUUGGUGAUCUGGCAGGCUAGAGUAUGGCAGAGGGGGGUGAGAAUUCCACGUGUAGCAGUGAAAAUGCGUAGAGAUGUGGAGGAAUACCGAUGGCG
This 377-nucleotide ribosomal RNA is filed under the name uncultured bacterium. RNAcentral describes it as "partial 16S ribosomal RNA". It matches the Rfam family "Bacterial small subunit ribosomal RNA", at positions 355 to 717 of the family's 1533-position model. The record is from RNAcentral.